Molecule: ribosomal RNA, 390 nt
Filed under: uncultured bacterium
Lineage: Bacteria
Description: bacterial SSU rRNA
Rfam family: Bacterial small subunit ribosomal RNA
Source: RNAcentral
GACGAACGCUGGCGGCGUGCUUAACACAUGCAAGUCGAGCGGUAAGGCCCUUUCGGGGGUACACGAGCGGCGAACGGGUGAGUAACACGUGGGUGACCUGCCCUCAGCUCUGGGAUAAGCCUGGGAAACUGGGUCUAAUACUGGAUAUGACUCCACGGUGCAUGUCGUGGGGUGGAAAGCCUUGUGCGGCUGAGGAUGGGCCCGCGGCCUAUCAGCUUGUUGGUGGGGUGAUGGCCUACCAAGGCGACGACGGGUAGCCGGCCUGAGAGGGCGACCGGCCACACUGGGACUGAGACACGGCCCAGACUCCUACGGGAGGCAGCAGUGGGGAAUAUUGCACAAUGGGCGAAAGCCUGAUGCAGCGACGCCGCGUGAGGGAUGACGGCCUGG